Long non-coding RNA from Leptinotarsa decemlineata (Colorado potato beetle), 1155 nucleotides. Lineage: Eukaryota; Metazoa; Arthropoda; Insecta; Coleoptera; Chrysomelidae. The record is from RefSeq and is a predicted model, not a curated record.
CUCAACGUGCAAUUAUCACCUGAGCGAUAAACAAACAACUCGCUGAUUAGGUGUUAUCAAGGAUGAUAAUGAUGUUGUUUCCAAUUUGGAUGCGUUGAUGAUUUGUAUUGUUCACAAGUCCCUAUAAGUCUUGUAAUGGAUAGUUUACGAGGUGAAUUUGAAGAAUCAAUGUGGGUGUACCUAAGGGAACAGUACUUGGUCCGAUCCUUUAUCUUGCUUACAUAAACGCAAGAACACACAUGAAUAAAUUAGACGAUCAUAUAAUGGGUCUUGUUAUUGAGAUGGGAAAAACAAGUACCAUAUGUAAUAUAAAGGAUGAGACUACUUAUUUUCAAUAUAUCAGUCUUUAGCAUUAUCCAUAAUGAUAUUGUAUAAUAGCAUGGGGCGAUAAAUUGGAUAGGGCUUUUGUGGCCGAGAUUUCCAGUGGAAUUGCAGCUCCAAACUACGACAGCUUUCAAACCCGAAUGGAGAUAGUAACACUAAUAGCAUGGGAUGUUAAUAGCUUACAAAUAGCACAUAACUCAAUUUUGAGAAUUAAAAAAAAUACUUUUUUAGUGGAUCAUCUAUAGCAAAGGACUAAUUUACUCAUCGUAAGAUUAUGAAAUAGUUAUACCAGUGUCUAGUAUGGAUGUUCUCGAACUUUAACAACUAUCUAACUCAUACAACAGUGAGACCUAGAGCAGUUGAGAAUACACAAAGAUUCUUGUUCUGUUAUGGUCCAAAAUUGUACAACCUACUCCCAUUAGAAUUGAAAACGGCGAAAAAAAUUAUUAAAUUCAAAUAUGCACUCUAGCGAUUCAUAAUCGAAAACUCAAAAAAAUUAACAUAUACUGAAAAAAGAAAUAAAUUUCCUACAUAGAAUAACAAUUCCUAUACCAUCUGUAUCUUUUCUUAUACAAGCAUAUACUCAACUUAUAUCUACUUGUUUUUGUUUUCCCUAUGAGUUUUGAAUUUUAUUUUUAGUAAUUGUAUUACUAUAUAGGUUGGGGUUUUCAUACAUAUGAUUGUACAUAUAUAACUCUUAUCUGAAUGAGUAAUAUACCACACUUAAGGCAUUCCAAUGCCUAGGAGGAAGUUACUCGUUAAAGAUAAUUGAAAUCUAACGAUUAUGUAUAUUAUCUUGAAAAUAAAUUUGAUUUGAUUUGAAAUGAUUAA